GGGGCGGCGCGCGGGGUCACGUGACGUGCGUGGCGACGUGUCGGCCAUCUUGUGUUGUUGAGGCUGAGGAUUGACUUGGGUUCUGAGAGACUCCUGUCCCGGACCGCAGUGUUAAAAAGACCUGAAAACGUUUACUGAAACGUCCUGCAGUGAGGUAGCAGAACUUUUGAACAGGUUUUUCAACAUACAAAAAUCUUUUUAAAAAUACGGAGAAUGGCAGCAGAAACCCAGACACUAAAUUUUGGGCCUGAAUGGUGAGUUCUGUCUUGUCUUAUUUGGGAUUAAAUGACAUAAUCCACUAGUAUGAUGUAUACAGAUGCC
Molecule: long non-coding RNA, 321 nt
Organism: Peromyscus californicus insignis
Lineage: Eukaryota; Metazoa; Chordata; Mammalia; Rodentia; Cricetidae
Exons: 3
Source: RefSeq, a predicted model, not a curated record